This 2030-nucleotide long non-coding RNA is filed under the name Prunus persica (peach). RNAcentral's name for it is "long non-coding RNA (PPER_LNC003896)". Lineage: Eukaryota; Viridiplantae; Streptophyta; Magnoliopsida; Rosales; Rosaceae. The record is from RNAcentral.
UAGUGUUUUUGGUAAUAGUUUACCCAAGAAGCCAAAAACAUGUAUGUAAUUAAACUUGAUAUUUUACGUUUAGCCUUCCAAAUACAAAGUCCUGACUCUGCCCCCCGAUCACCAACCAUUUGUGGUACCAUUUUGGACCAAAUUUCGGAGAAACAAACUUAUGUGGGUUCCCCUGCCUCUCACAAUAAUGAGAGGAUGAUAGCUACUACUACUGUGAGUGGGCCUCACACAAAUUUUGUGAGGACAAAUACACAAUCUUUUGUCCAAAUUUCGGUAUAGGUUGAUGACCCCACAUAGCCUUUAAUAAUCCCUUGUGGGAAAGGACACACGAGGGUUCUGACUUUAAAUCUCAAUAUUCAUGUAGCGUGUGAGUUAUUAUCUCUCAAAAAAUAAUCUCCGUAGUUAAUUCUAAAUUUCAUUUAAUGAAAUCAUGCAAUGAGUAAAUUUGAUACAUAUUAUAUAAUGAUAUAUAGCAUAUGUUGUGAUAAAAAUUAAUCCAAUCCCAAGUUCCCAACUACCCUAAACACCGUAGUGAUAAGUUAACCAUAGUCAAAAUGGUGUAAAGUUUGCAACUUACAUAUACAAAAUUGCAGGGUCAGCCAGGCGUAAUGUCCUGUAUAUACAAAAUAUCUAGUUAGCAGACAAGGAAAGGACCGUGUGCCUUCAACUUGCCACCCCUAGUCGUGCGUCGUGAUCUUUCCACGAGAAACAAGCAUCAAGUUUCACGAGGCCGGCUGAUUAAGCAGUUUUUGGCAUCCAGCAGCUGAUACAAGUUUGAAGCUUGCAACAAAUUUACCGGCGCCUUCUAUCUGCAAAUUAUGUGAGACAUUAGAUGAAAUAGUCUGGUCGAAAAUAUGUGUGUGUGGAUAAAGAAAGAAAUAAGCCAGAAAUAAGCCUUUAAUUUUGGGCUCAUCACGACCACUUCUCUAUUGCAAUUUGCAUGGCUGCAACCAUCAUCAUAAAUCUAGCAUGAGAAAAGGAGGCAAUAAUGUAGCCAGAGACGACUUGCCGAUCAGCUCAUUCUCACAACAACAUGCAUGCAUUGGAGAAUGACAAGCUAAGUAUUGCCGGCAAGUCAUCCUUGGCUGCACCACACGCCUCAUUUCCACAUGCAAGACUUUAGAUGAAAAAACCAUAACAUAAUUUAAAAAUAAAGUCGCACAAUAAUAUGACCAACCAAUCAAAUAGAUCCAAAUGUGUAAGAAACCAAGAAGAAAAAAAGAUAGAAAAAGAAAAGUGGAGGCAGGGUAGGAAUUUCCCAAAGAAGCAAGACAACAUUCCCUUGUAGAAAAAUGGAAACUCAACCCUCUACUUAUUUCAACAAGAAAACAAGGCGUUGUCCCAAAGAGGGAAGGAAAGCUUUGGAAACAGACAGAGAAGAAGAAGCCGAUUGGACUGCAAAGCCUCUUGGCAGUGUUUGGACGAAUGAACAUAGAUAUAUAGCCAUAGAGAGAGAGAGAGAGCCUAGCUUGCUCAUAAAUAAAUAAAGAAUUUGGCAAAAGCUGUUUUCUCUUGUUUCCAUAACACUCUAAGUAAGUAUUAAUGAUCUCAGCUUUUGUACAAAGCAGAAGCAGAUCCAGAACUGUCCGAUCAAAGUCCCUUAUCCAAUGGACAGGAAUCUGUGAGGAAAAUGAGUAAUUUAGAUGGAGUUUUUCGUGGGUGCAUAAACCGAAGAGUUUGGAUGUGACUUUGCAUGGGUGCAUAAACCAAAGAGAUAUUAAGCCGAAAGAUACAUCUCCAUCACCUAAUGUUCACUUUCUUCCUGCUUUUCUGAGAAGCCAUUCAAGUCAUGGCGUAGCUUUUGAUUUGAUUUGAUUGCUUAAAUUGAAUGAAUGGUAUGGCAUGGCUCUCUUCAGAUUCAGAAGGUGUCCCUCGUCGGGUAGGAAUGAGUUAGGUGAAGUGAGUCAAUUUACUACAUUUGGCCGCAUCCCAACCAAUUUGAGUUUCAGAUUGUGUGGUCCCUAAACUUAGAUUGUCUUUACCCCAAAAUGCUUGCUAUUAUCUGAUCUUAUGCUACAUGACUAGGUCCU